AUGGAAUCGGCCAUCUUGCUGUCGACAGUGUUCUUGAUGUUGUACACGUAUGUCUCUAGCUUGUUCCCGAGCGUCGACCCGCUCCUUGAGCUUGUGAUCCGCCUCGGCGAACUCCUCUGCCUCGCGCACCAUCCUUUCGAUGUCCUCCUGGCUAUGCCGAUGGUCCUCAUUGGUGAUGGUAAUCUUCUCCGACUUGCCGGUGCCCUUGUCCGCCGCCUUCACGUGCAGGAUGCCAUUCACGUCCACCUCGAACAUCACCUCAAUCUGCGGCGUGCCCCUCGGAGCCGGUGGGAUCCCAGAGAGGUCAAACUUGCCGAUGAGCCUAUUGUCCUUGGUCAAAUCUCACCGGAUCUGGAGAGCGGCAAGAAGACCGAGCUACCUGCUCCUCGGUGGCACCCAUUAGAACGUCAGCAAGAUGGAGGAAGAGCAGAAGCAUAUUAUUCUGACACAGCGCUGUCUCCACCAUUGAUGUAG
This 474-nucleotide ribosomal RNA is filed under the name Triticum aestivum (bread wheat). RNAcentral's name for it is "partial small subunit ribosomal RNA". The record is from RNAcentral. Lineage: Eukaryota; Viridiplantae; Streptophyta; Magnoliopsida; Poales; Poaceae.